GAAGUCGAUUUCAGUGCGUUUUUCGACGAAAUUCGCCGAAAGAACGCGGUUUCAGUUCGGAUUUCUUUCAACGUGGUUUGUUUAUCCUGUGUAUUGUCGCUGAGCCUGGUUAGCUGGUCACCAUCGUCAUUUUGUUGGUUCCGUGAUGAUGGGUGAGCGACGGUGGGUUUCGGUGUCGAAAUAGAUGCUUCCGGGAACCCGUAUUCGUAAAAUCAUCCGGCGAUAUGUUAUCUUGUGUUUGCUGCCAAGACAUCCAAACGGGAGUGUUUUGUGGCAGCAGGUGACUCGUGACACGAGUCGGUGAGUUUCGGGACAGUUAGUGGGUCCCGAUGGCGUCCCGAUGUGGUUUUCGGGACUUCCGAUAAGUUACAGUGAUCGGUUUUGGGAAAUCGAUUCGAGGACUUGUGUGGGGGUUUGUGAGUUGUGU
RNAcentral lists this long non-coding RNA (427 nucleotides) under Ananas comosus (pineapple). RNAcentral describes it as "long non-coding RNA (ACOM_LNC044304)". The record is from RNAcentral. Lineage: Eukaryota; Viridiplantae; Streptophyta; Magnoliopsida; Poales; Bromeliaceae.